Molecule: ribosomal RNA, 214 nt
Filed under: uncultured bacterium
Lineage: Bacteria
Description: partial 16S ribosomal RNA
Rfam family: Bacterial small subunit ribosomal RNA
Source: RNAcentral
UUCGGAUCGCAGUCUGCAACUCGACUGCGUGAAGGUGGAGUCGCUAGUAAUCGCGGAUCAGCAACGCCGCGGUGAAUACGUUCCCGGGCCUUGUACACACCGCCCGUCACACCAUGGAAGUCUGCAAUGCCCGAAGCCGGUGGCCUAACCACUUAUGUGGAAGGAGCCGUCUAAGGCAGGGCAGAUGACUGGGGUGAAGUCGUAACAAGGUAUC